RNAcentral lists this ribosomal RNA (409 nucleotides) under Fusobacteriota bacterium. Its description in RNAcentral is "Fusobacteria bacterium partial 16S ribosomal RNA". It matches the Rfam family "Bacterial small subunit ribosomal RNA", at positions 355 to 776 of the family's 1533-position model. Lineage: Bacteria; Fusobacteriati; Fusobacteriota. The record is from RNAcentral.
UGGGGAAUAUUGCACAAUGGAGGGAACUCUGAUGCAGCAACGCCGCGUGCGGGAUGACGGCCUUCGGGUUGUAAACCGCUUUCAGCCAUGACGAAGCUUUUGUGACGGUAGUGGUAGAAGAAGCACCGGCUAACUACGUGCCAGCAGCCGCGGUGAUACGUAGGGUGCGAGCGUUGUCCGGAAUUAUUGGGCGUAAAGAGCUUGUAGGCGGUUUGUCGCGUCGAUAGUGUAAACACGCAGCUUAACUGCGUGCCUGCUGUCGAUACGGGCUGACUAGAGGAGGGUAGGGGAGAAUGGAAUUCCCGGUGGAGCGGUGGAAUGCGCAGAUAUCGGGAGGAACACCAGUGGCGAAGGCGGUUCUCUGGACCUUACCUGACGCUGAGAAGCGAAAGCGUGGGUAGCAAACAGG